AUGGCCUGUGCUGUUGUUCCGUUGAAUUUUAAUGCGUUCCUUGAGAAAGAAAAGUUGAAAGAUGAUGGUAGCAAUUACACGGACUGGGUCCGUAACUUGAGGAUUAUCCCCAUUGCUGCACAGAAGCAUUACGUCCUGGAAGCACCACUGGGUGCCAGGCCUGUUGCAGAUGCAACUGACGACGUUAAAAACGUCUGGCAGAGCAAAGCCGAUGACUACUCGAUAGUUCAGUGUGCCAUGCUUUACGGCUUAGAACCGGGGCUUCAACGACGUUUUGAACGUCAUGGAGCAUAUGAGAUGUUCCAGGAGUUGAAGUUAAUAUUUCAAGCAAAUGCCUGGAUUGAGAGAUAUGAAGUCUCCAAUAAGUUCUAUAGCUGCAAGAUGGAGGAGGAUAGUUCUGUCAGUGAACAUAUACUCAAAAUGUCUGGGUAUAACAAUCACUUGAUUCAACUGGGAGUUAAUCUUCCGGAUGAUAGUGUCAUUGAUAGAAUUUUUCAAUCACUGCCACCAAGCUACAAGAGCUUCGUGAUGAACUAUAAUAUGCAAGGGAUGGAUAAGACAAUUCCCGAGCUCUUCGCAAUGCUAAAGGCUGCGGAGGUAGAAAUCAAAAAGGAGCAUCAAGUGUUGAUGGUCAACAAGACCACCAGUUUCAAGAAAAAGGGUAAAGGGAAGAAGAAGGGGAACUUCAAGAAGGACGGCAAACAAGUUGCUGCUCAAGAGAAGAAACCUAAGUCUGGACCUAAGCCUGAGACUGAGUGCUUCUACUGCAAACAGACUGGUCACUGGAAGCGGAACUACCCCAAGUAUUUGGCGGAUAAGAAAGAUGGCAAGGUGAACAAAGGGACUACGGAUUAG
Molecule: ribosomal RNA, 855 nt
Filed under: Triticum aestivum (bread wheat)
Lineage: Eukaryota; Viridiplantae; Streptophyta; Magnoliopsida; Poales; Poaceae
Description: partial small subunit ribosomal RNA
Source: RNAcentral